Long non-coding RNA from Podarcis muralis (Common wall lizard), 577 nucleotides. RefSeq lists it as uncharacterized. NCBI's taxonomy places the organism in Eukaryota, Metazoa, Chordata, Lepidosauria, Squamata, Lacertidae. The record is from RefSeq and is a predicted model, not a curated record.
AGCAGGGCAGCUGGCUAAUCAUUAAGCCCCCAGCGCCUGUUUUCUGGCCAGAAGCCUAGAGGAGAGAGGGAGGGGCAGCCUUCACCGCCAGCCUUUACCUGCAUAGCUCCAGUGACUGUUUCCAUGGCCGGGAGGAAGACCUGGAAAGAGAAAGGGAAGCCAGGGAUCAGGAAGUCUGAAGGUUCUCCAGCAAGGCUCAACAGCUGCUUUCCCGGCUCCCACCCUCCUGGUGAGCCUCUGGUGGAGGAAGGGGAUAUUACUGGUCAGGCAUUGUCCUGGGAAAGGGUCCUCUACUCCCAUCCCAUGCAACCCCACUGCAUGGCAAAGGUGGGAGAGUGCCAGGAGCCUACCAGUCCCUACCUGGUAAGGCAGCUUGGCUACCAACCAAGUUACCUUCCUACCUAGGCCAGGUAUAAUCCUGCUUGCCUCCAAAGGGAGGCCGGGUGGUCCAGAGAAGAGAGGAUAUGGCUGGUGGGAAACAAACACCUCUGGUCUAUACAAGCCAACUGCACCCUGAACUGGAGGUUCUUCCCUUGCUUCAUUAUUUGUAUAUACAAUAAAAUAAUGCCAGAUUUCA